AGAUACAUGCAGAAGCAGUACCACAGCCGAUGAGGGUUAUUCGAGGUGUGGUUGUUGCUGGUUAAAAACUCUUCUUAUCUAUUUGUUUCCAUUUCGAGCUCUCUUGGAGAUGAACAGAGUCAUGACCCACCUGAGGU
Non-coding RNA from Octopus bimaculoides (California two-spot octopus), 137 nucleotides. Lineage: Eukaryota; Metazoa; Mollusca; Cephalopoda; Octopoda; Octopodidae. The record is from Rfam.